AGAGACUCCUUCUUGAGAUUAACGUCGUUACGAAUCGUGACGGCUUUCUGGUGUUCAACGUAAGGAGUCGGUUGAGCCAUCAUGUGACCAGCAUAAGGGUAUCUGGCCAUCGCCACGGGAGCCCAAGAGUGGUUGUGGUAAGGAUGCGGUGGAUGAUGUUGGAGGUGGUGGUCGUACGGCGGAAGAGGCAUGGCUCCCGGGGGAGGAUGGUGGUAGUAAGAAGCAGGGUACUGGUAAACCGGAUUAGGAUUAGGAUUAGGAUAGGGAGUAACGGCAGCGAAAACGAUGGGAUUAGCUUGGAUUUCUGUAGGUAGAGGUGGUGGAGGAAGAGAAGAAGAAGGAGGAGGAGGAGGUGGUGGUGGAGCCGCCGUAUGGUUUCGCCGUCGACGGCGUCUACCUUCACCACCGCUGCUGCUAAUGUUUCCCAUAUGUUAUUGGCGUUAAACCCAGAUCAAAAAGACAAGAUUUUUUGGUGACCCAAAUGAUCAAAUCUCAGAAAAUUGCUAAAUUUGUGGGUGGAUCGGAGAUUCUGGGGAUUAAUAUUGAGUGAAAUGUAAGGAAUUACGAAAAGCAAAAGCAGAGAGAGUUUAGAUGAAUUAAGAAAGAAAGAAAAUAAAAAGAG
RNAcentral lists this long non-coding RNA (622 nucleotides) under Arabidopsis thaliana (thale cress). Its description in RNAcentral is "long non-coding RNA (ATHA_LNC000076)". The record is from RNAcentral. Lineage: Eukaryota; Viridiplantae; Streptophyta; Magnoliopsida; Brassicales; Brassicaceae.